UGCACACUUUCAGAGAGAAGAUCUCAGAGCAAUAUGAGUAGAUAGUGAUAAAGGAAUCAGCCAUGAUCAAUGAAGUAGGAACUAUGAACCCCCAGAGGUUUAAAAAAAACAAACGUGAUUUCUAUCUACUUAAAGGUCUUUCUCCUCUACUCACCUCCUUUAAAUGUAGCAAACAUUAUUGAGAACAAACAGUUUCUACUGAAUCAAAGCCCAGUUUGGUAUUAGCAUUCUAGGUAUUCAAGAAGAUGAAAGAUUUUGCUGCUUGCAUCAUGAUCAAAAGGCUCCAUUGCUUUGAGCCCAGGAAAAGGCAUAUAUUCAUGGCAAAGGGUGGUGGUGGCGCACACCUUUAGUCCCAGCACUUGGGAAGCAGAGCCAGGUGG
Long non-coding RNA from Peromyscus eremicus (cactus mouse), 380 nucleotides. RefSeq lists it as uncharacterized. The record is from RefSeq and is a predicted model, not a curated record. NCBI's taxonomy places the organism in Eukaryota, Metazoa, Chordata, Mammalia, Rodentia, Cricetidae. The transcript has 3 exons.